Long non-coding RNA from Musa acuminata AAA Group (dessert banana), 749 nucleotides. RefSeq lists it as uncharacterized. The transcript has 4 exons. The record is from RefSeq and is a predicted model, not a curated record. NCBI's taxonomy places the organism in Eukaryota, Viridiplantae, Streptophyta, Magnoliopsida, Zingiberales, Musaceae.
UCUUCAAGAACCUCCGUCGCCGACGCCGCCUCCGCACUCCCUCUUCUCCGCCGUCACUCGCCGCCUCCACCACCGGUACGUCACCCUCCCAGUCGCCCCCGACGGCCUCCUCUCCACCUUCCGGCCUCGGCGGUUUCUCCUUGACGACAGCGGUAUCGUCGUGUGUUAGCCAAGCGACUACAGUAACACGCUGCGAAAAUCUCAUCUACUUAUCAAAAAGAACCAUUGAAGGUUCAUGGAUGCAUCUGACAUUGACCUUGGAAGCCUAGAGGUGGUGUGCAGGCUCAGCCACUCGGAGAUGCUUCGUGUAUCCAACUGGCCUCGUUGCAGUCCAAUUGAUCAUCCUUUGCCACAGUAUUGAAGGCACUCGCAGGACCACCCACUUUGAAGAGGGGACCUGACUACCCAUCGUGUGUGAUCAUUAUUUCACAGAAUGUGCAUCUCCUACAUGCAAAUGAAAGGGUAUGAAACAUGGAAAGCUGAGAAAAGCAGAAAGAGUAGUAGUGCAGAACAUGAGGUCAUCAGUGCAGAGCCUGAAAAAUCUAUGCAACUUCAUAUUCUUUCGUGUCUUUAGAAUGACAUUCAUUCCAUGAAAGAGAUAUGGUUGUCAUGGUUUCCCUUCUACACUGGAAAAUGUGAGAUUUAUCAUCUCUAUGAUGCUGGAAUACUCCCUUCCAUGACAGAGAAUUGUGUGCUGCAUGUUUCCCAUGUAUUUGUCCUCCUUGAAAUGAACUCCAUCAUUGCAAUCA